Xenia sp. Carnegie-2017 is the source of this 304-nucleotide long non-coding RNA. RefSeq lists it as uncharacterized. The transcript has 2 exons. The record is from RefSeq and is a predicted model, not a curated record. Lineage: Eukaryota; Metazoa; Cnidaria; Anthozoa; Malacalcyonacea; Xeniidae.
CAGUCAUUCUUGAAAUCGCAUUUCUUACUGGCGGAGAUACAUAACUUGCUUCCUUUACACAUGAAGCCAUUAUUGGAGCAAGGAUUAGCAGCUUACCUAUUUCCGGCUGGCAUUCCGGAGUGAAAGAGAUAUCGUCAAUAGCAAUAUCACCUUUGUACGCUGAACCAAUCAUACCUUCGAUCAAAAUCUGCAAAGAAAAACAGCCAUGACACAUCAAACACUUAUUGUACAAUUUUAUAGUUCCAUAGAAGUUACGAUUAUCAAAAAAAAAAAAGAUUAGAAUGAAAUAAAAAUACAUUUAUAA